GUGAGGAAUAUUGGGCAAUGGGGGAAACCCUGACCCAGCGACGCCGCGUGAGGGAAGAAGGCCUUAGGGUCGUAAACCUCUGUUGUGUGGGAAGAAGAGCGUGACGGUACCACACGAGGAAGUCCCGGCUAACUACGUGCCAGCAGCCGCGGUAAUACGUAGGGGACGAGCGUUGUCCGGAUUUACUGGGCGUAAAGGGCGCGUAGGCGGUCAUUUAAGUCAGCUGUGAAAUGGUGCGGCUUAACCGCAUCAUGCGGUUGAAACUGGAUGACUGGAGUGCUGGAGAGGCAAGUGGAAUUCCCAGUGUAGCGGUGAAAUGCGUAGAUAUUGGGAAGAACACCGGUGGCGAAGGCGACUUGCUGGCCAGCAACUGACGCUGAGGCGCGAAAGCCAGGGGAGCAAACGGGAUUAGAAACCCGGGUAGUCC
This 427-nucleotide ribosomal RNA is filed under the name uncultured bacterium. RNAcentral describes it as "partial 16S ribosomal RNA". It matches the Rfam family "Bacterial small subunit ribosomal RNA", at positions 354 to 796 of the family's 1533-position model. The record is from RNAcentral.